RNAcentral lists this unclassified non-coding RNA (345 nucleotides) under soil metagenome. Its description in RNAcentral is "partial contains 5.8S ribosomal RNA, internal transcribed spacer 2, and large subunit ribosomal RNA". The stretch from base 1 to 119 matches the Rfam family "5.8S ribosomal RNA", at positions 35 to 154 of the family's 154-position model. The record is from RNAcentral.
GAUGAAGAACGCAGCGAAAUGCGAUACGUAAUGUGAAUUGUAAAUUCAGUGAAUCAUCGAGUCUUUGAACGCACAUUGCGCCCCCUGGUAUUCCGGGGGGCAUGCCUGUCCGAGCGUCAUUGCUGCCCUCAAGCACGGCUUGUGUGUUGGGCCCCGUCCUCCGAUUCCGGGGGACGGGCCCGAAAGGCAGCGGCGGCACCGCGUCCGGUCCUCGAGCGUAUGGGGCUUUGUCACCCGCUCUGUAGGCCCGGCCGGCGCUUGCCGAUCAACCCAAAUUUUUAUCCAGGUUGACCUCGGAUCAGGUAGGGAUACCCGCUGAACUUAAGCAUAUCAAUAAGCGGAGGA